CCUGGUGGCUCAGAGGUUAAAGCAUCUGCUUGCAAUGCAGAAGACCUGGGUUCGAUUCCUGGGUCAGGA
RNAcentral lists this transfer RNA (69 nucleotides) under Capra hircus (goat). It matches the Rfam family "tRNA". Rfam says of the family: Transfer RNA (tRNA) molecules are approximately 80 nucleotides in length. Their secondary structure includes four short double-helical elements and three loops (D, anti-codon, and T loops). Lineage: Eukaryota; Metazoa; Chordata; Mammalia; Artiodactyla; Bovidae. RNAcentral also lists the same sequence under 1 other name. The record is from Rfam by way of RNAcentral.